RNAcentral lists this long non-coding RNA (5229 nucleotides) under Dicentrarchus labrax (European seabass). RNAcentral describes it as "lncRNA (ENSDLAG00005028098.1)". Lineage: Eukaryota; Metazoa; Chordata; Actinopteri; Moronidae. The record is from RNAcentral.
CCCUCUUCUGUAAUUAUGCAGGAGUACAGUUGUACACAAGUAUGGAGACAAUGGGUGCUCACAACUGAUGCAGUGCAGGGGGGCGGUGGGCGUAAACACAUGUGCAUGUUUUCUUUCUCUUUAUUCCCUGAAUAAGAUGCGCACAAUGAAAACUAUUCUCUGGCUUCACGAUUGAAUGAAUUCAAAAGAGUUGACAGUAGCACACACUGUUUUGUAUUCAAAUGGCUCUUUGUGCGCAUUUUUAUCAAGAAUAAGAUUUGAAUGAUAGCAUGCUUUAUGUUCUUCUCCAAACAUAUAGUAGUUACAAAAUAUUUUAGAGCACAUGUGGCGUUGUUACCAUGUGCUUGAGUCAAAAAGUAUUUCUAACUGCUCCAUGAAAGGGGGUGUGGCACUCUGCAAGCCCAUGGGCCACUCUCUCUCUCUGCUUUGAUGGAGGGGUUACAUAACAUAUCCCACCAUCCAGCCAAUAGGUAGCCCAACUCUGAUACAAUCAUCUCACUGAGCUGUCGUGCACGUGCAUGUGUGUUGGGGGGGGGGACGUGUAUGUGUGUCUGCCUCUCCACGCCCCCCAUCUUUCAUCCCAGUCCUCCCAUAGGUUCGGUUCAAAGCACGCACCAAAAUGCCCAGCAAGAGGAAGAAGAACAAGCGUCGCAUGAGGAGGGUGCAGGCCCAGAGGAGAGCCCUCGAAGAGCAGCAUGCAUCCAACCCACCAGUCAAGGCAACCCCCGGGAUUGCAGUGAGUGCGCCCCCUGGAGCAACCCCAAAGAAAGCGACUAAAACUCCAGCACCAAAAAAGAUUCCAGCGGCCGUUCCCAUUGCCGUCCCCAUUGUGGAGACUCCAAAAGUAGAACUAAAACCAGUUGUGAAAGAACCUGUCGCAGUGCCUGUCCCAGUCAGAGUAGAGGCACCAGAACCAGAGCCUGUAGUGUUGGAACAGACACCAGCAGAAGUCAAGGUUGAAGUCCCAGCCCCGGUCACUGAAGCAGCACCAGUCGUUGAGUCUCCACCAGUGGAGUCCACUGUAGUUGAAGCUGAGAUAGUACAGGAGGCUGAACCUAUCAUUCCUGAAACAGAACCAGUACCUGAGGUCAUACCCCCAGCUGAGGCUCCAGUGGAGGCUCCUGCUGGGACUGAGAUUCAGACAGAGGAGACCUUAAUCAUAACCACAGAGACUGAACAGGAUGCUCAAGUCCAAUCUGUGGAAAUCCCAGAGGUGCCAGUCGCCGUCCCUGAGGCUCCGGUUGUAGAGAAUAGUAUAGAAGUCCCUGUAACUGAAGUCAAAGAGGCUCCUGCCACCCUGGAGACUGCCGACAGCCUAGUCGAUGACUUUGUUGUCACAGAAUCUGCCUCUGCAGUGGAGGUUGCCAUUGCUGAGUCUGCUGCUGUCAAGCCGGAAAUUGUUGAAAUUAGUGACACCAUCAACAGCCAAUCAGAAUCUAUGGAUGUGACACCCGCUGAGUCUGAGCCUGCCCCUGUCCCUGCUCCUGUCCCUGUCCCUGCAGAGGAAAUUGUCAUUGAUGCCACUGCUGAGCAGAAAUGUCUGGAUGUGCUGUCAGAAGAGCCUAAGUCAGAAAUCUGUGACAUGCCGUGUCAGAUGCAGCUUGCUGUGGAGUCUGUGGAGAUGUCAGUGGAGGCAUCGCUGAAUGGACACAUUGUUCCAGAGGUCUCCAUUGAGGGCUAGAUGCAUAUCACACAGCUUGGAAGACCUUUUCUAUUCCCCUUUGGUCAUUUGGAGGACUCAAAGCUUUACAGGGAGUCAACCAGCUGGCAUUUUAAAUUUUUUAGGGCUUAUGACAGAACCGCCAGGAAAUUGAAGGGACAUCCACACUUUGAAGUGCCUUUUCCGGCCGUUGUUCCUGUCAAAACACCAAACCAGAUGUCAACACACCAAAACUGAUGCAUUCAAGGCAGCACAACAGACUGUUGUCAUACGUGUGUGGAAAUGGAAACAAACAUAUUGUUGCUCUUUUUUUUGUGUUUCUCCCACAAAGCACAUACAGUGAAUUUGCAUUAGCAGUGGAAGUGGAAGUGCUCAAGAGAUGGAGGUUCCUAAAACAAGAUAAAUGGCAGCGCCUGAUAUUUCUUGGCAUGUUCCCAUCUCUCCAGAACAUCUGCUUCCAUGCUGCAUACACUCAGUGCAUGUGAAUUCUGUAGCACUGAUACAUUUUGCUAUAGUUUGUACUUGAGUCUAUGUUCAUAUGAGUGGGAGGGACAACAUUUCAGAAUCACAGAUUUUGCGCACCAGACCAUUUUUACUCUCAAAGAGACACGUCUGCUAACUUCCACCUUCGCCUUAAUUUCUGUCCCCUUCUCUGUCCUCCAGUUCUCCUCUCUGCCUCAACUAUGUGUCAAUUCUAAGGUUAGUGUGAUGCUAAAACACGGUUCUGGAUUUUAUGGCUGCUGCAGCCUGGAGUUUGAGGGGACAAACUGAGAGGUCAUUUUCCGUUUCUUUUUUUCUCACUUUCUCCUUUUUUAAAUCCAUUUUGUAUAGACCAUAUGAUGUGUUACAGUUUUGUGUUCAAAGCCUGUGCUCUGGAGGGAAAAUGUAAUGUGAUCUGUUCAUGUGGAUCUCUGUUGGGCUGAUUUGAUCCACCUUUGAAAUAAAGCUGUAUCUCAUCGUGAUAAAGGAGUGAUUCUUUUACUUUCUAUGCACCGAGCUCAUGAAAUACACAGAAUGGAGGAGCGAUACUGUAUAUGUGGGCUUCAUUUCCAGUUCCGAUCUGUACUGGCAAUAACAAAAGCUUUUGAUAGCUUUCAAAGAUGCAACAUUUGAAAAAAAAUGUAUUUUCAACUUUGUUUUCUGGCACACGGGAAAUUAGUAAAAUUAAGUUUUGAUCACUAAGAAAUAAUUGUAGCUAAAGGAGGCAAAGAAUAAGCUGACAAAUUGACUAUUAAAAGGUUAAAAAAAAAAAGCCAAAAAAAGGCUUUGACUAUGACAUUUUGCAGUGUUUGCACCCAAGCCUUUUGUUAACCCUGAAGAUUGUCUAAAAGGUCAUGCAUACUUUUAUUUUGACGUUUUGGUACUGGGCUGGGUACAAAAUUACUCUCAACCCUUUACCAUAGAGUAAACUUAAUAGUAAUGUUUUAGACCAUGGAUUAUACUUUUAACUCCAAAAGUGGUAUUAGCAUUUGCUUGGCUAUAUUUUUAAAAACAAACAAUAUUUAAUAAGUAGUUUUAUUCAAAUAAUUAACACUUAGUAGUCACAAUAAAGUCAUACAUGAAGAUGAUUAAAGCUGGAACUAGAAUGAAAUUUAAAAAAAAUCAUAUUCAGUACCAAAGCACACUGAUUGUGAGGUUUCUACCGUCGAAAAAGCAGCAGGUUGUGAAAGUCACUGUGAAUCUUCAAAAUAAAGACAACAAAACAGAUCAAAAGAUUUUUAAUUAUUUGUUUUUGCACAGAAAUCUACAUUCAUAUUAGUAUGAUGUAAUUUGGUACAGUAAACACUGCCGAUGUGUGGUUUUGCAAUCCUCCCUCUUUAUACUAUGAUCAUACUGUCAAAGAGAGUUUUUUUAUUUUUUUAACUUAAGUUUACUGGCCCCUCGCAUUGGAAUUUUAACAAAAUGUCAAAAUGCAAAACAGAAGGAACAACUUCAAUUCUGCCUUAAGAGGAAAAAAGAAACAAAAAGUAACAACAAAAAGACAGACUGAAGAGACAAAUGAUAAACACAUACUGCUUAAUAACAAAGAGGAUAUAUAUUUGUAAAAGCACAUUCGUAUUAAUAGUAGAUGCUUUGGAAUGAAAACAGCAACAAAGAGGCUCACUGUGAUCAGACAACUGUCCAACUUGCACUCAGCACAUUCUUAUAUAUUAUCUGAAUUUUUUUCACUUGUGGCAUUAAUAUGCAUGAGCACAUGUCAUUAUAACCCCAACCCUCCCAAAAACAUAAUAAAUAAGAAAACAGGUGAUUUGAUUGGUCCAUGAGGUAAAAUGUGAAAUAAAAAACUGAGCAAAACAAAUGAGCAAAAAAGUUGGAAAGAUUUUUGAAAAGACAAACAUCCACACAAACAAAACAAAACAAAACAAAAAGUGUGGGAGAGGCUGAAAAAAUGAAAUUAAGAAAGAAAGGAUUGUGAUCGCAGACAAGAAAGCAUGAUGUCCAACAAGGUUAUCUUCCCCCAAGAAAGAAGCACACACACUUACACACACACUCAUACAACCAUUCACGCAGUCAAACCUGAAGCUCAAUAACAAAUCAACUUCCAAAGCUGUAAUCUUAACAAAGCCACUUGAUGGAUGAUAAUAUUUCUAUAUUUACACUGAAGUGAUGAUUAACUGACAAAAAACGCUCAGAACGAACCCAGAAAAUACAAGAAACAGUAAAACCAAUAGUAACCAGAUUAAAUCACCAUAUUCUCUUUUCAUUCCUUCACUUUUUGAUCUCCUCCUAUGCACUGACAAAACAAAAGUCCACUGAAGUAGUGUGCAGGACGUGGGUGGGGAUUACAGAGACAAAGAGAGGGGUUAAUAAUGACAGUGAUGAUGGAGAUGCUCAAAAGCAAUGAGCAGUGUGAACGCUUGGAGGACAUGUAGCCCGCCACUCAGCGCAAUCAGGCAAGUAGACUCUUCUCUGUCUCUGCUACAAGGGAAAGAGCACUUCAUUAAAAGAGCCCCCUGCCCAUUUUGGACUACCCUGGUUUGAAAUCAAGCACACCUAGCUCCAGUUGUUUAGAGGUUUGGUGUGGGAGAGCAUGCAGUUAGCUACACAGUAUAGCCUGAGUGGUUGGAAUUAAAAGAGCACUUCAAAAAAACAACAACAGACGGCCAGCUUGGGUUUAUAUGGGGGGUCCAAAACAAGUUCUGUUCCUUCGUCAGAAGUCAGAAGUUUAGGAUGCAGGUUUUAACAUCAAUCUGAGGAGUGUAUGUAGCAGUAACUGUAAUGGUAGAAGCAGCACUAGUAGUGUUCAGCAGGCAAUAUCCUUGUCUUUCUGGAGAGGAAAUGGCUCAAGAGCAAACCCAACCAAAGUGUUGACCCCCAAAAGGUGCAGCAGUAGCACUUCAAAGAAUUAACGGGUAUCAUCAACAUAUCUACCUUGUUUCAGAAUCCUGGGGAGGUUUUAAUCCUGCUUCUGCAUUAGAGGCGGGAUGGGAGUUUUUUUUGUUCUUGUCCAUUGGUCGCUGUGGCUGGUAUGUUCCAAGAUUCAUCAGCAAUGUUUGUUUAUUUUUGAGGCAACUAAGCUUAAAGGUUUAACAUUCAAUUGAUGUUUUGCAAACUUCAAUGGUGGCUGG